GCAUUUGGCGGGAUCUGUGUCUCUCGCUGGUGCUGGCACAGGAGCUUGGGAUCUGUCUCCUCUUUCGCCUCCUGCACCUUGAGAGCCCUGGGCUACUCUGUCACAGCCCCUGUUGCCCUGCGAUCUGUAGGUCCUUGGGGACGCAUAGUUAAGGUGCCAGGACAUCCUGGAAGCUGGGAAAUGAUUUCUUCCAGACCAUGGCUGGAGAAGGAAAGAAGGUGUGUUUUGCCUGAUUCAGGGACUAUAGAGAGAACCAAGUUCUGCAGGCCUGUCAUCUAAGUCUCAGGGCGGGGAGACCUUCCUUCCCCACGGGUUUGAGGCUAUGGCUAAGUGGUGAGCCUUGGUGAGACGCAGAAAGGAUCCAUCCCAGGCACUUGGCUAGAGGCUGAAUGCUAUCCCAGUGAUUGUACGUGCCCUGUUUGCUGAAUCUACUCAUCCUUAAGGGUACAUUUGCUUCCAGGUAACAUGUUUGUGACUAAUACUACAAUGUGCAUAUAUCUAUUCCAUGUUCUGCUUUGUCUGUUUGGGAUAUUUUUCAUACACUGAUUCAGUACCAUGUGUAUUCCCUUGCUUUUGUUGUCUCAUCCGUUGAUGUUACGUCCCCCAAAUUAUUGCCACGACCAGUUGUCAUGAAGCUUCACCCUUCUGUAUUGUGCUAGGAAUUUUACAGCUAUAGGUUUUACAUUAUAGUCUUCAUUCAUUUUUUAAAAUUGACACAUGUAAUUGUGCAUAUUUUGGGGAAACAAUUAUAUAUAUAUGUUGUAUAACAAUAAAAAUCAGAGUACUUCUAUA
Molecule: long non-coding RNA, 792 nt
Filed under: Homo sapiens (human)
Lineage: Eukaryota; Metazoa; Chordata; Mammalia; Primates; Hominidae
Description: uncharacterized LOC105379499, transcript variant 4 (LOC105379499)
Source: RNAcentral